AGCAUUGGUGAGGAGUAUCAAUAUCCCAAAUUGGUGUUCGCAUCUCACGAGCCUCAUACGAUAAUUAUUCUGGAGGAUGUGAGCUCACAGGGAUGGACAAUGGAAGGGUUGAUAAAAAGUUUUUCCGAAUUGGAGCCAACCAUAGAUGCAAUUGCCAAGUUCCAUGCAGCCUCUGUCGUACUACAAGAGAAGGAUCCUACCUUUGCGUCCCAGUAUCAGUGCACCAUUGCGAAAAUAUUAUGCUCGAUGCGAGGUAUGACGGACGGCUGCUUUCGUUCAUUUAUCUCCUUUCUUAGUGAGACGGUGGAGCUUCAAGAGUUUGUCGCCCGGUAGAACAUUUUCACGCCAAGAUCGAUGACAUUUUGCAAGCGGCAUAUGCACCUAGUGAAACGUUUGCCAAUGUGUUGAUACACGGUGAUUUUCAUUUUAAAAAUUUGCUUCACCUACAGUCCGGUGGCAAAAUCGUCGAUACAAUUUUUGUGGACUAUCAGAUGUGCAGCUGGUGCUCGCCGGUGGUCGAUUUGUACUACCUUACCUACAUGAUACCGGAGCAAUCGGUAAAAAACGCUCAUCGUGAUGAGAUCAUUUAUCGUUACUAUGAAAAGUUUGCCAGUCUGCUUCGACGGUUGAACUAUCGUGGUCGUGUUCCGUCAUUAUCUGAGUUGCAGGUUGAGCUGCUAAGGAAAACAGAAUUGGAACUCUACCAUUAUAU
Long non-coding RNA from Anopheles merus, 712 nucleotides. RefSeq lists it as uncharacterized. NCBI's taxonomy places the organism in Eukaryota, Metazoa, Arthropoda, Insecta, Diptera, Culicidae. The transcript is spliced from 4 exons. The record is from RefSeq and is a predicted model, not a curated record.